UUGACUUGCAAAUGAUAAUGAUUAUUAUUGCAACCACUGGUCGCGAGAUCAGUCGAUAGUCCAGAAGGCCUUAGGUCGGACUUCUGGGGUAUCUCCUCAUCAGGCUAAUCACGGUUUUUGACCCGGCUCCUGCCGGGUCUUUUUUUG
This 147-nucleotide small RNA is filed under the name Pseudomonas corrugata. Its description in RNAcentral is "PrrF RNA". It matches the Rfam family "PrrF RNA". Rfam says of the family: PrrF RNA is a small RNA involved in iron homeostasis and is found exclusively in Pseudomonas species. The record is from Rfam by way of RNAcentral. Lineage: Bacteria; Pseudomonadati; Pseudomonadota; Gammaproteobacteria; Pseudomonadales; Pseudomonadaceae.